CUUUUUGAAAAAUGCCUCAUUUUAAGGUAGAAAUUAGAAAGCUCGAAAAAAAAGUAAUUGAGUGAUAGUCUUUUUGAAAAUAAUAAAUUAGGUACAAAUUUCAAACGAUCUAAUAUUUCAACCGGUUUCUUCGCCAACUUUGGGUAGGGUGUCUUGAUUCAGAGGUGAUUUUUUAGGACCAUUGCUACAAUCCAUAACAAACUUUCUACAUCUGUAUGAUAUGAACCAAAAAAUGUUCCAAUAGAUACCAACACUUCUAACAUACACGAACAAGAAACAUGAACAAUAAAGAGACCAAAACAACAAAUUGAAAAGUAAAAAAUAUUAUUUGAUAUAAAAGAUGGCAUAGUUUAUAGUGAAUAUUUACAUGUAUAUAUGUGUUGUGUACUUGUGUGUAUGUUUUCAUAGUAGAUAUGCUAAUCAAACAACAUGGGAGUAGGGGAGUACAUAUUAUAGCAAACUUCCUUUUUAUGCCUAAAACCAAUCACUUUAAACAUAAUAUAUAGCAACAUUAUAAGUUUUCAUGGUACAUGUGCUAAUACACCCACAUUGUUGGGUUUUGUGAUGAAACAUGAACAUCUUAAAGCCAAAUAGUCAGUCUGUUAGCAUUUACAUUUGUAUAUUAUUUUGCAUCCAAAUGACAAAAAGACGACACAAAAAACAGAAGGAAGAGCAUUUAAACAAAAAAUCAAAAUCAAAUAAAAACAAUAUAUGACAUACCGAAAUUCCAAAAUACAACAGAGCACAAACGGUUGGUGGCUGAUGUUUGGUGGCGACAAUUGAGUGAAGACGGUCAAACCCACAAACUCGAAGACAUUGCUCAAAAACACAGAAGGAUUAGAAGGAAGAGCAAUUGAACAGAAAAUCAUAAUAUAAUUGAAACAUUAUACAACAUACCGGAAUUCGUCACAACACCAGAUAGAAAUUCAAGUCUCCUACUGACUGAUCAUUAAUCAAAAUCAAGAAAUAAGAAUUUCAGAAUAUCACCAAAUCUGUAAACUUACAUAUUCUGAACAUUUAUAAAAGCCCAAAAAUGAAAAUCGGCUAAUUGCUUAUUGCUUUGACGCAAUAAGUGGAUAUCUUGAUUGGCUAAUGUGGUCAAUUUCAUUUGUUGCUUAUAUUCAAAAGGAUCUUAGAACCAAAGCGAAUGUUAUACAAUUAGGCCGUGCACUUCCUCAAGCACAGGGACCAUAUGAAUGCAUCCAUCCCCUUGUAAUAUUCUCCAAUUAUUGAUAAUCAUGUUGGAUGAUAAUUCAUGUCUUAAAUGGUAUCUUAUGUGAAUGUUUAUAGCUACAAUGGAUGAUAAAGAAAAGAGUGAGUAUGAAAAUAUGGUGUAAUUUUUUUUAUAUUAUGAAGAAUUUACUCAUAUCAUGAUGGGUUUAAUUUGAUAUCUGGUUUCUAACAGCUAAUAUGGUUAAUUUCAUUUGUUGUCUUAUAGUCGAAAGGAUCUUAGAGCCAAAGAUAAUGUUAUACAAUUAGGUCGUGCACUUCCUUAUCCUAACACAAUUGACCUAUCUCAAGUUACUGAACUCUCUUGGCGACCAAGGUCAGGUACUUUGAUGUUAUAUCUGUUAAGGAUAUGAUGCUUAUUUAUAAACUAUAAUUUUUGUUUUGAGUGACAAGAUGAUAAUUUUAAGAUUAUCAUUUUGGAGAUGAUUUUGACAUGGUCUUUCUUUGGAUCCGAUAGGGUAUUCUUGUACAAAGGCUUUCUAUCUUAUGAAGAGUGUGACCACCUUUCUUUAGAAAUUGAAGUAAGUUUUGUUCAUCUAUGUUAAAUUUUCAUUUUUAGGCUUUCAUUAAUGUUCAGAAUAUGUAAGUUUACAGAUUUGGUCCAUAUGCUUUACUCAAUGUCACAAAGUUUGUCCAGUUAUACAACUUUCCAACUAAACUUACCAUCCCAAUUCCACCUCACCCCAUAUUUAUCAUAUUCUUCUAUAUUUAUCAACAUACAAAUAAUAACCCAUACAAAAAACACCAUUGUAUGAUGAUAUAACCCAAAUUCUAUACCACCCUCCGAUCCAUACAACUCCAUCUCACCCCAUAACGUCCCACUUGAGAUGCUAUAAAAAGGGUUAAUAUACAUCACGACUUAAUUAUGUUAUCCUAAUGUAAGUUAAAUUAUCUAUUUCUUGAUUAACUGUUUGUUUUUUAUAUAUAUUGAAAUUGUGAAACAUUAUAUUGAAUUCAUAAAUGAAUAGUCUUUUUAUGGAUUGGUGUUAGAAAUGAUGGGUGAUGAACUGGAAAUGAGAGUCGCAUCCACAAAUGCAUACAUAUUGAUUUUUACUUCUUCAGUGCUCCAUAAGUCGCUCAGGAGUGAGUCAUGGCAACAUAAAUAAUUGACUUCAAUAUUCAAAUACACUUUAUUAAUAUAUAAAAUAUUUUGCAGGAUUUCGAGGGAAGUAUUAUCUUUGGGGGGUGGGGGCAGAUUUUAGAGCCAAAAACAACGAGCCUUGUGCGUGAUGGAGUCCAAAAAAAUGUUUGAAAGUGGAACUGAAAAUAGAAAUUCAAAGUGGAAAAGAAAAGCAAUACGUAAGUCGAUAUCGUAAGUUUUUGGUCGAGAAUUCAAAGUUCUUGAUCAACAUACCCAGAUCGAAAUUCAAAGUGGAACAUAAAAGCAAUACAGAAGUCGAUAUCCUAAGUUUUUGAUUGAGAAUUCGAAGUUCUUGAUUGACAUACCCAGAUCGAAAUUCAAAGUGGAACAAAAAAGCAAUACUCGAUAUCCUAAUUUUCGAUUGAGAAUUCGAAGUUCUUGAUCGACAUACCCAGAUCGAAAUUCAAAGUGGAACAGAAAAGCAAUAUGGAAUUUGAUAUCCUAAGUUUUUGGUCGAGAAUUCAAAGUUCUUGAUCGACAUACGCAGAAUUGAAGUUACUGAUCGACAAGGUGUAAGAAACGUCAUAUCUAGAAUUCGAAUGUCAAACCCUCAACGUUGGAAAGGAAGAAAUUCGAAAUUGAAAACAAGAAAUCAAUAGUGUAUACAAACGACAGAGAACAUACCCAGAUUUCAAAUUGCAAUAGAGACGGUUGGAGGCAGCCACGAACCACAGACCCGUUCAGUGGGGACGGAAGUGGAAAUCCUUAGUUUUGAUCAAGAUUGCAACCCAUAAUCUAAAUCCUAAAUCUUGAUCGAGAAGACAAAGAAGACGUCAAACCCACAUAGUCGGAGAGGAAGAAAGGGAGGAGUCCGAAGAAAUUGUGAAACAUAUGAAGGAGAAUGUGAAUGAUUUAGAUCAAAUAAUUCAAAUGUUAAUUAAAUUAAUAGCAAAAAACUAAAAAG
RNAcentral lists this long non-coding RNA (3275 nucleotides) under Lactuca sativa (garden lettuce). Its description in RNAcentral is "long non-coding RNA (LSAT_LNC007850)". The record is from RNAcentral. Lineage: Eukaryota; Viridiplantae; Streptophyta; Magnoliopsida; Asterales; Asteraceae.